GGGCCCGCACAAGCGGUGGAGUAUGUGGUUUAAUUCGAUGCAACGCGAAGAACCUUACCAGGGUUUGACAUCCUGCGAAUCUCUUGGAAACAGGAGAGUGCCUUCGGGAACGCAGUGACAGGUGGUGCAUGGCUGUCGUCAGCUCGUGUCGUGAGAUGUUGGGUUAAGUCCCGCAACGAGCGCAACCCACGUCUUUAGUUGCCAGCGAUUCGGUCGGGAACUAUAAGGGGACUGCCGGUGAUAAACCGGAGGAAGGUGAGGACGACGUCAAGUCAUCAUGGCCCUUACGAGUAGGGCUACACACGUGCUACAAUGGGGAAUACAGACGGACGCUAAGCCGCGAGGUGGUGCU
Molecule: ribosomal RNA, 352 nt
Filed under: uncultured bacterium
Lineage: Bacteria
Description: bacterial SSU rRNA
Rfam family: Bacterial small subunit ribosomal RNA
Source: RNAcentral